RNAcentral lists this long non-coding RNA (465 nucleotides) under Homo sapiens (human). RNAcentral's name for it is "long non-coding RNA NONHSAT005725". Lineage: Eukaryota; Metazoa; Chordata; Mammalia; Primates; Hominidae. The record is from RNAcentral.
CCCUGCUCUCUGGGCUCCACAUCACCUGACUUGCUGCUCCACCACUCCGCUUGUCUCCUGGGUACUCCAUCCCAUAGAGAUGUGAGUUAGCAAUCACUUAGAGUAAUCAGCCCAGGAUGGAGGGUCUGUGUUGUGAGGCCAAGCCAGUGUUCCCUCUCUGGUGAUGAGCAGUGGGGGGGUGGCUUUUAGGAGGGCAAGGGACUUCCUGAAACAGUGCAUCUCACAAUAUUUGGAAUGACUAUUGAAAAGAAGAACAUUGUACAAUCAAAGUCCUUGGCAACAUUGUAGAACUAGCGGGUGCUGACCCCUGAGCCACAACCACAGUUCUGGGUUUGGGGUUUGGUAAAACCACCCCAAGGACAGAGUUCUGGGGCCGGGUUUUGGAGGAACCAAGACGCCUCCCAGGGAUGGUGUGUCACUCCUGCUUGCCAUGAAAUGUGCACACAGUCUGUCCCCCUGCCCAUC